Pistacia vera is the source of this 230-nucleotide long non-coding RNA. RefSeq lists it as uncharacterized. The record is from RefSeq and is a predicted model, not a curated record. NCBI's taxonomy places the organism in Eukaryota, Viridiplantae, Streptophyta, Magnoliopsida, Sapindales, Anacardiaceae. The transcript is spliced from 3 exons.
AGCCUUUUUUAGAUCCCAAAAUGAAGAACCAAUUACAGAAUCAUCUCAUUCCAAUUUUAGAUUCAAUCCAAGAGUGGAGUAAGACAAUUUGAUACAAGAAUACAAGAAUCUUUCUGAAGUCAUCAGUUUCUUCAACUCUUGUGGGUGAAAGAUUUGAGAUACUUUGUUGAGGUGGAAUGAAAUCAGAUUGCGAUUGCAAUGCCAUAAAAUUUUCCUUAUCCAGUUGCACG